AUGGGGCUGCAGGACACGGGCAGCAGCCGGAGGAGCAGCUUCUUCCAGUACCAGAGGCUGGAAUGCCGGGACGACGGGGCCACCCCGCGGCCCAGGCAGCGGCGGUGGCUGCCGUCUCUGAACGGCAAGGCGGCCUGCUCCUGCUUCUUCCAUCUCAAGAAGCUCAGGUGGAGCAGGAUCACUUCGGUCCUCCUGCCAAGGAAGGUCUCCGAGCCCUCCUCCAAGAUCCGCCAUGCAAGCGUGGCGCACGCCGAGGAUGCCUGCCCGAGCAUCGUCUUCUUGUCGCAGUGGGGGCUGCCGGUGCUCUCCGGCCCGUCGGUGGGCGGUAACAGGGGCAAGUACCCCCGUGGGAAGGGCUACUGA
This 363-nucleotide ribosomal RNA is filed under the name Triticum aestivum (bread wheat). RNAcentral describes it as "partial small subunit ribosomal RNA". Lineage: Eukaryota; Viridiplantae; Streptophyta; Magnoliopsida; Poales; Poaceae. The record is from RNAcentral.